Long non-coding RNA from Pteropus alecto (black flying fox), 1324 nucleotides. RefSeq lists it as uncharacterized. Lineage: Eukaryota; Metazoa; Chordata; Mammalia; Chiroptera; Pteropodidae. The transcript is spliced from 3 exons. The record is from RefSeq and is a predicted model, not a curated record.
CCGCGGUCUGGAAAGUAGGGUGGGGUCUGCGAAAGAGGCUGGAAUGCCAAGGGUUAAGUCCCAGCGCCUCCAGUGGAAGGGGACCGUGAGUUCGCCGCCCGGGUGGAAUUCUAGCCUACCUGCAUGGCCAGCAGCCCUCUCGAUCUGAGUCGUACUUGCUUUCUCGCCUGGCCCACGGGCGACAGGCUCUGAGGCCGAGUUCCCGGACUCGGGUUCUCCUCCUGCCCGGGGUGCUUGUGUGCGUCUGGGGCUGGCCUACAAGUGGGCUGGUGCAUUCCCGCCUAGUGCGUGCUCCACAGCCAGACAAAACUCUGGAAUUGCAAUAAAAUCAGCUGUUGGGGCCAGAUCCAGGAUCUUCCUGUAUAAAGGAAUAUAUAAAGACUUUCUCAGGCGUGAUAACAUGAGUCUGAAAAUUAAAAGGUCUUCUCAGAUCUUCUCAUCUUCCAUUGUAAGAAGCACAGUGUGUCAGCCCCUGGCAAGGAGUUCUGGGUUCAGCAAGAUGACCUUGUCACGGAAUAUGUAAUACAAUUUGGAUCUCAGCAAGAUCAUUUAAAAACUUUCAGGUCCUAUGACUCCAUUGCUCAUGGACUUAGAAGGAAGAAGGUUAUUCAAGGACAGCUUUUCCAAGGACCAGGUUUUAUCAUUCGCUACAAAAUGUGUGAGGUGCUGAGUCAGAGAGCUAGGUUACAAAGACACUUAAUGCACAUGGGAAAGUUUACCAGCAAUGUAAUUAGAUGGCUGACAAUGCCAAAUGGACAAGCAGUGAAAAUGGGAGAGACCAAGAACUGGGGUUGAGCUAGGUCUUUUAGAAAUGAGCCAUCAUUCCAUGUAGGGACUUACUACAUGUUUGGCAUAUAGUAAGUACUCAAUAAUGAUUGUUUAAUGAAUGUUUAGAGUAAAUGGAAUGAUAGAAAAGCAUAUAUGUUUGGCGGGGAGACAAAGACACCAAUUUGACUGCAACAAAGUUUGGGAAUCUGUACACUUUAAAUGAGUGAUUUGUACAUUAUGUGAAUUAUAUCUUAAAGCUGUUUUUUAAAAAAUGUCUUCAGAGGUGUCAUGGAUACAUUUAGUGUGGUAUUGUCAUGGAUUUUGACAUUUUAAAAAGCAGGCUUAUUGAAAUAUAAUUGACAUACAAUAAACUUCAUGUUUCAAGUGCAGAUUUGAUAGUUUGAUCAUUUGAAACUCCCAAGAAAAUCUCUCUUUUUUUUUUUCUUGCCAUAUCACAUUGUGUGUUAUUUCAGGGAGGAAAAGUGACAAUACUGAGGUAAAAAGUAUUGAAAGAGAUGAAAAACCCCAGAAUUUUUAUUAAAAAUUGAGUAUGGUA